AUUCUUUCGCAGAGGCAAUAUUGUAGUCUAUGAGGCUCAUCCGAGGCGCGAUCAUUGCUGGUUAAAAACUUUACCCAAUACCUCGCCGGGAUGACUUAAAUGAAUACAGUCAGCCUUGCCAAUUUUUGCCAGCCUCUCCGGAGG
This is a small nuclear RNA of Puntigrus tetrazona (Sumatra barb), 144 nucleotides long. RefSeq annotates it as U4 spliceosomal RNA. The record is from RefSeq and is a predicted model, not a curated record. The transcript has a single exon. Lineage: Eukaryota; Metazoa; Chordata; Actinopteri; Cypriniformes; Cyprinidae.